This 128-nucleotide ribosomal RNA is filed under the name Jaculus jaculus (lesser Egyptian jerboa). Lineage: Eukaryota; Metazoa; Chordata; Mammalia; Rodentia; Dipodidae. The record is from RNAcentral.
GUCUAUGGCUAUGCCACCUUGAAUACACACUGACUCAUUUGAUCUCAGAAACUAAUCAGGGCCCAGCCAGUUUAGGACCAGGAUGGGAGAAACAGGAAGGUCCUUUCCUACGUUAGGUUCUAUAGUAA